AUUUAAGUAGCUUAAAUUAGAGCAUAAUAUUGAAGAUAUUAAGGUAAUAUAAAUUCUUAAAUA
This 63-nucleotide transfer RNA is filed under the name Tettigades ulnaria. Its description in RNAcentral is "tRNA-Phe". The record is from RNAcentral. Lineage: Eukaryota; Metazoa; Arthropoda; Insecta; Hemiptera; Cicadidae.